UAUACCCAAACCUGACACAGGGAGGUAGUGACAAGAAAUAACAACACUGGAAAUUAUAUUUCUAGUGAUUGGAAUGAUGGGAAUCCAAACCCCUUUCAGAGUAACAAUUGGAGGGCAAGUCUGGUGCCAGCAGCCGCGGUAAUUCCAGCUCCAAUAGCGUAUAUUAAAGUUGUUGCAGUUAAAAAGCUCGUAGUUGGAUAUCUGCUGGAAGCAGCCAGUCCGCCCUUUGUGGGUGUGCACUUGGUGAAUUCUGGCAUCCUCCUGAUUGGUGUUAUCAUCACUUCAUUGUGUUGAUGGCAGCUGUCAGGACCGUUACUUUGAGAAAAUUAGAGUGUUUCAAGCAGGCUUGUUGCCUUGAAUACUGCAGCAUGGAAUAACAAGAUAGGAUUUCGGUUCUAUUUUGUUGGUUUCUAGGACUGAAGUAAUGAUUAAUAGGGACAGUUGGGGGCAUUCGUAUUUAA
RNAcentral lists this ribosomal RNA (461 nucleotides) under Sarcocystis sp. Its description in RNAcentral is "SSU rRNA". It matches the Rfam family "Eukaryotic small subunit ribosomal RNA", at positions 440 to 901 of the family's 1831-position model. Lineage: Eukaryota; Apicomplexa; Conoidasida; Eucoccidiorida; Sarcocystidae. The record is from RNAcentral.